UUCAGCUGCACAAGGAUAUGAUUGGA
RNAcentral lists this non-coding RNA (26 nucleotides) under Macaca fascicularis (crab-eating macaque). RNAcentral also lists the same sequence under 1 other name. Lineage: Eukaryota; Metazoa; Chordata; Mammalia; Primates; Cercopithecidae. The record is from RNAcentral.